UUUGGUGGUCUGCGCUCUGCUUAAGCCAGAUUACCUGGUUAGAUAAUCUGCCAGGAUUAGCUAACCUUUGAAAAACCACCUGCCAGGGUGGUUUUU
This 96-nucleotide non-coding RNA is filed under the name Ligilactobacillus acidipiscis. Lineage: Bacteria; Bacillati; Bacillota; Bacilli; Lactobacillales; Lactobacillaceae. The record is from RNAcentral.